Molecule: non-coding RNA, 3391 nt
Organism: Picea glauca (white spruce)
Lineage: Eukaryota; Viridiplantae; Streptophyta; Pinopsida; Pinales; Pinaceae
Source: Rfam
CGACCCCAACUCAGACGAAAACUACCAUUGAGUUUAAGCAUAUAAUUAAGUGGAGGAAAAGAAAUUUACAAGGAUUUCCCUAGUAAUGGCGAGCGAACCGGAAAGAGCCUAGCAUGAAAAUCGAGUCGCAGCGCCCCCCUGAAUUGUAGUCUGUAGAAGAGUCCUUAGCAGCGAACCAGGCCCAAGUCCCCUAGAAGGGGGCGCCUGAGAGGGUGUUAGCCCCGUCGGGCCGAAACCCUGCCGCACCACGAGGCAUUGUCGACGAGUCGGGUUGCUUGGGAAUGCAGCGCUAAUCGGGUGGUAAAUUCCAUCCAAGGUUAAAUACGAGCGAGAGACCGAUAGCGAACAAGUACUGUGAUGGAAAGAUGAAAAGGACUUUGAAAAGAGAGUUAAAGAGUGCUUGAAAUUGCCAGGAGGGAAGCAAAUGGAGGCCGACGAUGCGUCUCGAUCGGAUGUGGAACGGCUCAAGCUGGUCCACCACUCGACUCGAGUUGUGAACCAGCACAGGCCGUUGCAUCGGCACAAGCGCGGGUGGAGUAUUGCAUGUUGGUUUGUCGUUGUGGCGGUCGAGGAACGAAGCGUGCGCCUCUUGGGGCGGGCCACUAUGCACCUACACACUCGUGGUGAUGGUUGGCGGUCUUUCCAUUCAACCCAUCUUGAAACACGGACCAAGGAGUCUAACAUGUGUGCAAGUCGGUGGGUUUGUAAACCUGCAAGGCAUAAGGACGUUGACAGACAAGAUCCCCUCUCCAUGGGGUGCAUUGUCGACCGACCUUGAGCUUGUGCAAAGGGUUCGAGUGCAAGCACACCUGUUGGGACCCGAAAGAUCGUGAACUAUGCCUGAGCAAGGCGAAGCCAGAGGAAACUCUAGUGGAGGCUCGUAGCAUAUUGACGUGCAAAUCGUUCGUCUGACUUGGGUAUAGGGGCGAAAGACUAAUCGAACCAUCUAGUAGUUGGUUUCCUCCGAAGUUUCCCUCAGGAUAGUUGGAGCUCAUGUGCGAGUUUUAUCGGGUAAAGCAAAUGAUUAGAGGCAUCGGAGGCAUAAUGCCCUCGACUUAUUCUCAAACUUUAAAUAGGUAAGACGAUGUGGUUGCUCCAUUGAGUCGUGCCACAGAAUCAAGAGCUCCAAGUGGGCCAUUUUUGGUAAGCAGAACUGGCAAUGCGGGAUGAACCGAAAGUCAAGUUACGGUGCCAAACUGCAUGCUAACCCAAAUCCCAAAAAGGGUGUUGGUUGAUUAAGACAGCAGGACGGUGGUCAUGGAAGUCGAAAUCCGCUAAGGAGUGUGUAACAACUCGCCCGCCGAAUCAACUAGCUCUAAAAAUGGAUGGUGCUGAAGCACGCGACCUAUACUCGACCAUCAGAGCAAUUGCCAGGCUUCGAUGAGUAGGAGGAUGCGGGGGUCGUUGAGAAACCUUGGGCGUGAGCCUGGGUGGACCAGUCCCCGGUGCAGAUCUUGGUGGUAUUAGCAAAUAUUCAAAUGAGAACAUUGAAGACUGAAGUGGGGAAAGGUUCCAUGUGAACAGCACUUGGACAUGGGUUAGUUGAUCCUAAGAGAUGUGGAAGCCCUGUAUCAAUGGUGCACUCUACACGAACAUCGAAAGGUAAUCGGGUUAGUAUUCAAAAAAUCGAGACAUGGCGGCAAACGGCAACGUUAGAAAAUCUAGAAGAGUUAUCUUUUCUUUUUAACAGCUUGCCCACCCUGAAAUUGGCUCAACCGAAGAUAGGGUCCAGCAGCUGGAAGAGCAUCGCACGUCUUGUGGUGUCUGGUGCGCCCUCGGCGGCCCUUGAAAAUCUGGAGGACCAAGUACCAUUCAUGCCCGAUCGUACUCAUAACCGCAUCAGGUCUCCAAGGUGAACAACCUCUGGUCAAUAGAACAAUGUAAGUAAGGGAAGUCGGCAAAACGGAUCUGUAACUUCGGGAAAAGGAUUGGCUCUGAGCGUUGGGCCUAGGGGUCUGCGUCCUCAACCCGUGGGUUAUCGACAGUCUGCCCGAGUUGUUAUCGCGGCGACGGCAGGCAAUCCUGUGUCGAUUGGGCUACAGACGUAGAAUGUCCCCUCGCAGGGGAUUUUCCCUAGGCGGCGAACAAUCAACUCAGAACUGGUACGGAUAAGGGGAAUCCGACUGUUUAAUUAAAACAAAGCAUUGUGAUGGUCCCUGCAGAUGUUGACGCAAUGUGAUUUUUUCCAAGUGCUCUGAAUGUCAAAGUGAAGAAAUUCAACCAAGCGCGAGUAAACGGCGAGAAUAACUAUGACUCUCUUAAGGUAGCCAAAUGCCUCGUCAUCUAAUUAGUGACGUGCAUGAAUGGAUUAAUGAGAUUCCCACUGUCCCUAUCUACUAUCUAGUGAAACCACAACCAAGGGAAUGGGCUUGGCAGAAUCAGCGGGGAAAGAAGACCAUGUUGAGCUUGACUCUAGUGUAACUUUGUGAAAUGACUUGAGAGGUGUAGAAUAAGUGGGAGACAUUUUCGACGCAAGUGAAAUACCACUACUUUUAACGUUAUUUUACUUAUUUAGUGGGGCGAAGACGGGGCAUCGCCCCUGUUUUUGGCCUUAAGACACGUUUCGACGGGUCGAUCCGGGCGGAAGACAUUGUCAAGUGGGGAGUUUGGUUGGGGCGACACAUCUGUUAAAACAUAAUGCAAGUGUCCUAAGAUGAGCUCAACGAGAACAGAAAUCUCAUGUGGAACAAAAGGGUAAAAGAUCAUUUGAUUUUGAUUUUCAGUACAAAUACAAUCCGUGAAUGUGUGGCCUAUCAAUCCUUUAGACUAUCGAAAUUUGAAGCUAGAGGUGUCAAAAAAGCUCCCACGAGGAUAACUAGUUUGUGGCAGCCAAGCGUUCAUAGCGACGUUGCUUUUUUAUCCUUCCAUGUCGGCUCUUCCUAUCAUUGUGAAGCAGAAUUCACCAAGUGUUGGAUUGUUCACCCACCAAUAGGGAACGUGAGGUGGGUUUAGACCGUCGUGAGACAGGUUAGUUUUACCCUACUAAUGAAUCGCGCCGCAAUAGUAAUUCAACUUAGUACGAGAGGAACCGUUGAUUCACACAAUUAGUCAUCGCGCUUGGUUGAAAAGCCAGUGGCGCGAAGCUACCGUGUGUCGGAUUAUGACUGAAUGCCUCUAAGUCAGAAUCCACGCUAGAAGCGGCGCUUGUCACGACUCGAUUAUAUCUUGACCCACAGUAUGGGUGUCACUUCGGCACCCCCAGUGGCCCGUGUCACUUGCAAACCUUGAUCGGGAAGCGUCUCAGUCGGGGCAGCUUUGAAGUUCAAUUUCAAACGGUCAUUGAGAAGAAUCCUUUGCAAACGAUUUAAAUACACGACAGGGUAUUGUAAGUGGCAGAGUGGUCUUGCUGCCACGAUCCAUUGAGAUUCAGCCCUUCAUCGCCUCGAUUCAG